RNAcentral lists this ribosomal RNA (231 nucleotides) under uncultured bacterium. Its description in RNAcentral is "partial 16S ribosomal RNA". It matches the Rfam family "Bacterial small subunit ribosomal RNA", at positions 524 to 754 of the family's 1533-position model. The record is from RNAcentral.
UACGAAGGGGGCUAGCGUUGCUCGGAAUUACUGGGCGUAAAGCGCACGUAGGCGGUCUUUUAAGUCGGUGGUGAAAUCCUGGAGCUCAACUCCAGAACUGCCUUCGAUACUGGAAGACUUGAGUCCGGGAGAGGUGAGUGGAACUGCGAGUGUAGAGGUGAAAUUCGUAGAUAUUCGCAAGAACACCAGUGGCGAAGGCGGCUCACUGGCCCGGUACUGACGCUGAGGUGC